GCUGUGGGAGUGUAAUCUGACAGAGGAAAGCUGUAGAGUUCUGUCCUCAGUUCUCAGCUCAAACUCCUCCAGACUGAGAGAACUGGACCUGAGUAACAAUAAACUGCAGGAUUCAGGAGUGAAGCUGCUCUCUGCUGGACUGGAGAAUCCACACUGUACACUGGAGACACUGAACAUUAACUAUAAUAAACUCACCAGGACUGGCGUAUGACAGGAGUCUCACCUCAAACCUCUUCUCCAGGAUAAAGCAGUUUUGGUGAAGAGUUAGAACCCGUCCCACAUUUCCAGCAGUUUGGGAGCUGAAUCAUUAAACUUAAAGGGACAGAGCAGAAACAAAGUCAAGAACAGGCAGAAGGUCAUACACAGGAGAAAUCAACACACGUAACGAAAUAUCUGCUGUACAAAGCAACGGCAACGAUCUACCCUGGGGAUGGAGACUGACGAUGCUCAAGUACAUGUCUGGUCACAGACUGAUCCCAAAGCACGAGGCAGGAGCAGGCAUGUUAAUGGUAAAUGGUCUGCAGUUAUAUAGCACUUUUUUAACCUUAGUGGUUCCAAAGCACUUUACACU
Ictalurus punctatus (channel catfish) is the source of this 571-nucleotide long non-coding RNA. The record is from Ensembl. NCBI's taxonomy places the organism in Eukaryota, Metazoa, Chordata, Actinopteri, Siluriformes, Ictaluridae.